AUAUAUUUUCAUUAUAAAUAACAAAUAUAGUUUAAAUAGGUAAAAUAUUAAUUUUCCAUAUUAAAGAUAUGGAUUCAAAUUCCAUUAUUUGUA
RNAcentral lists this transfer RNA (93 nucleotides) under Plasmodium cynomolgi. Its description in RNAcentral is "tRNA-Gly". The stretch from base 21 to 93 matches the Rfam family "tRNA". From Rfam's summary of the family: Transfer RNA (tRNA) molecules are approximately 80 nucleotides in length. Their secondary structure includes four short double-helical elements and three loops (D, anti-codon, and T loops). Further hydrogen bonds mediate the characteristic L-shaped molecular structure. tRNAs have two regions of fundamental functional importance: the anti-codon, which is responsible for specific mRNA codon recognition, and the 3' end, to which the tRNAs corresponding amino acid is attached (by aminoacyl-tRNA synthetases). tRNAs cope with the degeneracy of the genetic code in two manners: having more than one tRNA (with a specific anti-codon) for a particular amino acid; and 'wobble' base-pairing, i.e. permitting non-standard base-pairing at the 3rd anti-codon position. The record is from RNAcentral. Lineage: Eukaryota; Apicomplexa; Aconoidasida; Haemosporida; Plasmodiidae.